This 253-nucleotide ribosomal RNA is filed under the name Gaiella sp. Its description in RNAcentral is "partial 16S ribosomal RNA". It matches the Rfam family "Bacterial small subunit ribosomal RNA", at positions 524 to 776 of the family's 1533-position model. The record is from RNAcentral. RNAcentral also lists the same sequence under 2 other names. Lineage: Bacteria; Bacillati; Actinomycetota; Thermoleophilia; Gaiellales; Gaiellaceae.
UACGUAGGGGGCGAGCGUUGUCCGGAAUCAUUGGGCGUAAAGAGCGUGUAGGUGGCUUGGAAAGUCUUACGUGAAAGCCUGCGGCUCAACCGCAGAAGUGCGUGGGAAACUUCCUCGCUAGAGUCCGGAAGAGGAGAGCGGAAUUCCUGGUGUAGCGGUGGAAUGCGCAGAUAUCAGGAGGAACACCCGUGGCGAAGGCGGCUCUCUGGGACGGUACUGACACUGAGACGCGAAAGCGUGGGGAGCGAACAGG